UCGAGGUCGGAUGUCCCUGGUGAGGCCAGCCAGGACAUCAAUGAUCCCAUUCCCCACCGUCCGAGGAAGGAUCCCACUCGACUGUCCACCCAGGAGGAAGCUGGGGCAACCAAGUGCCAACAACAAGCUCUGAAGUUUCAACUUCACCUGAAAAGAGAGCCACAAACAAGGCUGAGCUGCUAAGCUCAACAAGACUUAACCGACCGGUGGAAAAACUACUCCACCACGUCUAGACAUGCAAGGCUCUUUGGCUGAGGGGUUUUGUUUGCCAAAUGCAACUAUGUUGGUUCUUACUUUCAAAGUUUUAGCUCAGAUUCUAAUUUCAUUAACCAGUCUACAUUUGCAACUUACACUAAGCAAGCAUAUAUCCAACAUUAUGUAUACAAACUUAACAUCAAGACCAUGUCAUCAUCAGACUCCUUCAUUACUCAGUGUAGCAUAGCGAUCAAGCAGUCUCAAACUGUGAGAGGCAGACAAAUCGAUUCGAGUUCUUUAACCAUGCAUGGUGAACCUAACCUCACGACAUCCGUGCACCACCGAGGGUCGCUUCCUGUGUCUGCCUUCCCCAUCAAUUCCCUAACCCGUGUCGGGCCCACUUCUCUUGGUGCAAUGUUCCACAGACCCGGCCUCUGACAUUCUGUGACCACACUUGCCACCACGUGCGGCCGCAGGGGAACUUCGUUCCAGAGACAGUGGAUCAAACCACUCACGUUUAGGUUCAAUCAGGUACUAGGCUUCCCCAUCCCAUAAUGGGUAUGAGAUUAGUACUUUCAAACACUUGAUCACGAACACCACCACUGUUGGGCCUUAACAGAUUCAAUAAACAGACGGGGCGACUAGCCGACCACCAAAAGAGUUAUCUAAAACCCUGCCCCAUCCAUUGUCCUUAUAGUUGUAAACAAAAGAGAACAUCCAACUCCUAUAACUCGCGAGUGAUAGGGAAUCACUCGACUUUUACCAAGUCCUAUUUAAGCAUUGCAACUACUCGACCCAACAGACUAGUGUUCAAGCAAAGGAACUAAGUCAUGCAUCUAUGGUUGCAAACAACUCCUAUACGUAAAUGCACAAUCAUGAGAAGAAAGGCAUGUGCAAGUUUAGAAAGUUGGGUGUAUGCUCCGGGGCUUGCCUUCAAGCAGAGGGGAGGGAAACUAGUUUUAGCCGAUGUUGCUUCGGCUUCUGGGAUUGGCGGUUCUGCUACAGCUCCGUCUUCAGGUGCCGGGUGUAGCUCGUAGGUGCCGUCGGUGAGGUGUAACUCUACACGAAUGCAAUGCAGGAGUUAGCACUUAGACGGUUAUUUCAACAACACUUGCAAGAUUAAGCUCAGACACUUGUAGCAAAGCUACAUAAAAGGUAGGGGAGUUCAACUUUAGCUGGUGGAGAACAGGAUAAAAGGGUCGGAUGAGGGGUACACUUGUGAUCUGACCCUUAAAGUUAGGGAAUAACUGGGCCGGGGUCCUCAAACUUAACACAGAGAAGUCCCUGAUAUUUUACACUGAUACCCUCGGGUCAAGAAAAGGAUACAGCCGAGCCCUCGGGCGAGGUAGAUAAGGGUCGGCGAACAGACAAGGUCGGGCGAGAUGGAAAAAGGGUCGAGCGAACCGGAAAGGGGUCGGCAGCUUACCUUCAGGUGUACUGGUUAAGCUUUGGGGUCGGGAAGGAACAGACUUGGACGGAAAGACUUAAGCACUAAGGCUUGGGCGGCGGUGAGGUUUGACGGUGCUCCGGCGGCGGCGGAGCUUCUUGUGGGCAAUAAGAAAGCUCUAGCACAACGCGGAGGAGCAGACGGUUUGGUGGAUUGGGGAGAAGCGGGUUUGAGCGGAGAGGGAAACUUCUCAAGAGCUCAGCGGGAGUGCUCAAGUGCUCUCAGAGUAUGGGCGGCGAAACAGCGAUGGCGAAGGAAAACUCUGGUGGGACUCUGGUAUGCCGCUUUAUAGCUGCGCGGAAGAGAGAGAUUUUUGAGCAGCACGAAGACCGGGAAGAAAAGGAGGGAGUGCGCUGCCAUGGCGGUGAUUGAGCGGCGAUGGGCAGCGGAACAGGACCUUGGAGAUAGAGUCUUCGGCCAUUGGGAACUGGAGACAAGGCCGGCGCAGGCGCGGCUUUGCCGGGAUUUAGAUUUGGCAGAGGCGAGCGUGGUCUGGUUGCGUCGAGUGGCGGAUUUGAUGGGCGUGUGAUAGGGAGGAAGGUGCUACCAGCGAGGUUGCAGCAAGUGAAGUGACAGUGCGAGCGGCGGCGCGGGCGAGCGCGAAACAGCGGCUUGCCGGGGCUCAUUACUGGCGAGAUGGAAAAAGGAGCUGUCGCGGCCGGAGUCGGGGUUGGUGGAGGAGGUAUCGUCGUGGAGUGAGCUCAUGGGCGGCGCAACUGUGGAGAGGCGGCGGAAAAACCGGAAGGCAUCAGGGCUUGCAGCCGGGGAUCCAGGCGAGAUGAUGGGCGCGGGUCGCGAGGUGGUCUGACGCAGCAGCGGCAAAACUCUGCCACGGCGGUGACGGGGCACCUUGGUGCGGCCGGCGAGGGCGCGAGCAAGACGAGGCGAGGCGGAAAGGGUUGCAGGGGGCUUCUGCUACGAUUGGGGAGGAGGGCGCGCUGAUCCAUCCUGUCGCGGCCGGCGACUAGGCGAGGCGGCGGGUGGCGGAGAGAUCAAGCCACGCGGCGGGGAAGCUCUGAAGCGGGCGCAUGCUGCUCAGGCGCGUUUGCCUCGGGAGAUCCGGGGAAAGAUUUCAGGUCCACCAGUCAGUCUCGGUUUCUCCACUGCUCCAAGAUUGGAAGGAUCUCUGCCUUUGAACUUAGAAAGAACCGGCAGUUUUGGGUUGGGUUUUCAGGGGUCGGGACUGAGAAUCGGAUUUUGAGCGCUUAAGCUCAGGAAGGCUGAGACAGCGGGAUUAGGGACUUUCGGUUGAAGAUUAACUCGGCUGAUUAUCCAAGGUCGUUACACUAACUCUCCCCUCCAGUUUUGACUACCGUGGCGCACCCCCUUUUGUCCCAGGCCAACUUUAAACCGGGACAAAAGGGGGGCGUAUCGAAAGCCAAUUCUCUACUAGUGGGAUGUGACUCAAAUGCCUUAUGUUCCUCCAAUUAAAUAUAAAAAUUUGCAUAAUUAUAUUUAUGCUUAUAUGUUCCAUGAUAGCACAUGUUCAAAACAUAGAUGAAGAAUUCAAUUAUUUUCUAGUGUUAAUUCAACUUUCUAUGUCAAAUUUACAAUAGAAUAAUUGUAAUAAAAUUUAAGUUUGGUGAGAAAAUUCUUCAAACUGGCAUGGUAACAUAUCUUUUGUUCAUAACUUAUCCAUAAAAAAUGAAGAUGAUUUUAAUACGGUGAAUGUAUCUAUUUUUACAAAUUGAUAUAUCUCUUACAUAGUUUUGUAUAACUCAAGUUAAACACUGAAAUUUGCAUAUAUUCAAAUAUUUUCGAACUCGGAAGGACCUGAAAUUUGGAUGACCUUAUAUUUUUCUUAAUAUUAGAAAAUAUAAAGUUACACCUGCUCUUGUUAUGUAAAAGUAAUUAGCAAAAAGAUGGCAUCAAACGAAAAUAGUUUGAACUACAAAGUUGUAAAUCUCAUCAAGUGCUACACUGUUUAUAUAAAAUUUAUCUCUAUCCGAUUUCAUAUGAAUUAGUUAUGAUUUUUGAAUGUAUGCUGCCCAAUUUCAGAUCUAAUAAAACUUGUGUCGAUUAUUUGAGCACCAAGAUGACACCAAAUGAAAAAAUUUUGGACUACAAAGUUGUAAAGAUCUCGUGGAGGUCUACAAUUUUUACAUAAAGUUUACCUCCAUCGAAGUUCAUAUAAAUUAGUUACGAUUUUUAAAAGUGUACUGCUCAAAGUAGGGAACCUACCACCGGUUCAACUGGCAGGUUGCUUCCACCGUUUCAAUUUCCAUUUUUUUUAUUAGGCCAUAUAUUUUUUCAAAAUACUAAAAUAAAAAAUAUAUAAAAAAAUUCGGCGCGGGCCUCCAAGUUCACAUGUUGCCUGUUGGGCCUGAUGCCUGGGCCGUUCGUUGACCAGACCGUUCAGCACCCAGCAUAGUUUUGGGCCAACAGCACAGCAGCGCGGGCAUGAGAUGAUGACGAUGAUACGCACCGGCCAGCAGCAGCAACCCGUUCGACGACAAGUGCUUAGCCCAUUCAGCAAUUCUGGCCUGAGUUUGUUUCGGCACAAAGAACAAGCACGCUUUCUCCUAACCUAAAAAGAAAGAUCAAGCUUCCUUAAGUACAUAUGUUACCUUAAUUCAUAUGCCCAUGCAUGCACGGAGACCUAAGACAUAUUUGGAUAAACUAAACCUAAAUUUUAGCCAUAACUAAAUUUUAGAUGUCUAAACUUUAGUUGGUUAAAAUUAGUCAUGUCUUGUUUAGAGCUAGAGCUAAUUUUUAGCCUAUUUAUUGGUAAAAGUCCAUCUAUCCGUGAGGGUGCAGGAGAGAAACCUUUGUCAACUUAGAUUUGUUUUUCAGAAAUAAAAACCUUUGUUAGCUUUGCAUUGGUACAAUAGUGGGACCCAUGUAACGAACGAUUUUAGACGCAACUCAUUUUAUAUAAACAUGUAACGUGCCGCGCACAACCUACCCAUUUUUUUUAAAAAAAUCAUCAAAAUGAUGGUCUAAUAUGAUCAUAAAUCUGUGACGCUUGAUAUUUGUCAUGAAAAUGUAAGAACAUUUGUCGUAAUAUAACAUUGCAAUAUUUUAUGACGUUUUUAGAUUAGUCUUAGUGACGAAUAUUUGAUUUCGUUUUGAUUUUUCGUCACUACCUUCCCCUACAAAAUGUCAUAAAAGGAAAUGAACUUAUUAUGUUUUGAUCUAUAGUCAUGAGGUAUUCGUCACAGAAGGUCACGUUUAUUGUAGUGACAACAGAUAUGGAAUGUAAUAGAAAAAGAAUUUUUAUUUAUUCUUUCCUUCCUUUACCCCUAUAUUCAUAUCUCCUUUUCUGUCCCGAUCAUCCCGUUCUGCUUUGUCAAUUGACCACCAGCGUAAAAGGCAAAGCCAUCGUCGAGCUCCAAACUCCCCACCCUCGAGCCCCAGGCCUUGUUUACUUCCCAAUUUGGGAUAGGCAAAAUUGGCAUUUUGCCAUAAAUGCGCAACUGUAGCGUUUCGUUUGUAUUUGUGAAUUAUUGUCCAAAUAUUAACUAAUUAGGCUCAAAAGAUUCGUCUCGCAAAGUACAACAAAACUGUGCAAUUAGUUUUUAAUUUCAUCUACAUUUAGUACUCCAUGCAUGUACCGCAAGUUUGAUGUGAUGGGAAAUCUUUUUUUUGCAUAGUGUCAAAGUUGAGAGUUUGGAGGGAAGUAAACAUGGCCCCAGUCUCCACAAAACUGCAAUAGUGGUGGCCAUGCCCCUAUCCAUGCGAACCCUAAGUCCUACCCAUGCCCCGGACCAUCAAAAUGGGCUCCCCUCCCUCGCCUCUCGCUCUCCAUGCCUGUAGAUCCUAGAAUGGUGACCGAGAAGCUGAUCUGAUGAUGAGACUCAUCUGCAGUACUUAUGCUACAGAGAGAUGUCCUGCAAAGCAUCUGCUUCCGAUUCUAGCGAUGCCAUGAACAGUGGUGGACCCGAGGACAAAACGGACUGCUGCGGUUUCUUUCUCCUAGCCCAAGCACCAACAAAUAUCAGCCUAUGGUCCAAAUCCAGAGCCCAAAACCCCAGGGCCAUCAGAUUGAUGCCAUGGCAAAAACUACCUCCAAUCAAAUAUAUAAGACAUUAAACAUUUUUUUCUUUCUCCUUUCGAAAUUAACCAACACUAAUUUCCAAAAGAGAACAGUAUGCUAGUCAAAGAAAAAGCGCACGCUGUACCUAUCGGGCAGCAGAACAACACGUACGAAGAACAGGGUCCAUACUCCAUAGUCUAAGAACAGGGUCCCCUCUCAGCACACAAAAAUCGGUAGCUCAGCUGUACCUAUCGGGCUUGCCGCCCCGGUGGCCCAGUCCCCGUCGGCUCGUGUCUCCGCGUGCGGCCUCGGCUAGCCUGCCGGCCGCCUCGUCACCCCCCGGUCUCGGCCUAACGGGCGACGACAGGACGGGCACGAGUUGCUGUCUGAAAAUCCCUUCCUGAUUCUGUUCUGCUGAAAACAGGCGGGGUGAUCAUUGAGUGCUUUGCCGAGGUCAUUUUCUGCAUCGAAUCGAGCUCGGCCUGGUCAGUGUGGGUGCGAGUGCGAGUACCUGCCCAAGAUGCGAGCUGCACGAGCACGACCACUGGUUGAAUUCUAGGCUGAUGUGCUUUCCCUGUCGCUUUUACGGAUGGACUGUUUUCUGCGUGGCGUGCUUUGAGCUAUUGCGCUCGUAUUGUACUUCCGGAAUCGUCCAAUCAUCACUUGCUCGCGUAUGCUAUAUCUCCGGAACAAAACACGACACCCCGUAUAGCAGCACCAAGGCACCAGCUACGGGUUUUGACUCAAAUCAUUAGUUUUCACAUAGCAGAACAGAUGUCUGCUGCUCCAAGCACAACUUUAGAUCAUAUAAAUUAGCGAUUGAUUUUUUGCUCAAAUUCUGCCCUACUCUACGUAGGAUUGGCCGGUAAUUGUUGUGAGAUAGUACUUCAUUUCAGAGAGUUUCACAUCUUCUAUUGAUAGCAACGGGUACAAAUUACCCGCGUGCCUGCGGGCAAAAAUCCGAUAGGACGAGGAUACGGGUUCUAUUUUGUGCCCACGGUUACGGGUGCGGGUUUGAGCUUGUACCCGCGGGUAAAAAAUUAGUGGGCAUAAAGAUAUCUUACCCGUGCCCGGAACCCCACGAACCCGCUACAUAGUGCCUGACAUGUGGACCCUAUGCAAGUAUAUAAUCGAUUUUAGGGUUCCCGUUCCUCCUCCGAUCCUUAUCCUUUCCUCCCGCACGCCCGCUGCUGCAGUCCCACUCGGCCGCUCACCCCAUGCACCACGGCAUAGGCGCCUAGACGGCCGCCGCACCUCCCUGCUGCCCGCCCUCACCCCUCGCUCCUCGCCGCCACCUCUCCGCCGCCACCUCCCCUCCCCCCCGCCACCUCUCCACCGCCCGCCAUCGCGAGGCCGCUCCGACGACGCCCGGCUCCCCUGCACCGCCGCCCAACACCCGGUUCCACCCAACGUCUGGCGGGCACGGGUGUGCCCGCGGGUAGACUGUGCCUGCAGGUGACGGGUGCAGGCACAACUUCUUAUCCGUGAUGGGUGGUGGGCGUGGGUACAGGUAUAGGGUUUGCCUCGCGGGCGCGGGUCUGUAAACCCUCUGCCCAUAGGUAACGUGCCCGUUGCCGUCCAUAACAUCUUCCCCCGUUCAAUACAGGACUUAGCUUAAAUGUUAAAAAAUAAGCUGAUUAAAUAAUAAAAUUUUUAAGCAUUUCGAUAGGAUAUGGUCGCAAGUAGGCAAGUAGCUAUGAAAUUUGCGGCAUCGACUCUAGACUGCCGUCCUUGUUCAAUGAAGGAUAUGUUCAAUGUCUAUCUGUUUCAGAAUGAGUUAUCAUCAGAAUGGUUCCUUUACCAUAACAAAAAUCUUAACCUUGCGUAGGAGAUUAAGUUUCCACAAGAAUUUCUUCGACUAAAGGUGGGUUAGAUCAUCAUUUACUUGCACAUAUAGUGAACCAAAAAGGGCACUAACAUGCAAAAUUCCACCUAGCUAAUAUAUCAUGUCCAUUCCAUAUUUGCAAAUAAGCUAGUUGUGAUGCCAUAUAUAUGUUGCCAUGCAAUUAAUUGUUCUCCAACAAUUGGCCUACGGAAAUAGAGGUUCAGUGGUAUAGAUCUCAUGACUUCCGCUGUAAUUUGCCUUCAUAUAUAGCACCACGUAAUAUAGUGUCAGAUGAGUAUGGUCAGAUAAGGCCUGGUCGAGUGCCUCCACGGUGAUGUUGGGAUAAUUGAGUUCCCACUCCAUGUUCAUUAAAACUCCAUCCAACUUUUCAUGUGGUAGGGGAUCAUGAUUGUUCGACCAAAUGUGCAAUGGUGCACGAUCAUCUCGCGCGCUGCCACAACCCCGGCAUGCACCCACCGCAGCCUGUCGCGCAGGCCGCUACAGCUGGACCCAAGAGAGAGAGAGACGUACAUGGGGAGAUGAAGUCUUUGCUGCCGCAUCUGCGCCCGCUGUUGCCAUCGCCGUAGUCCGCAUCUGCCGCCGCUGUAGCCCCAGCCCGCAUCCGUCGCCAAGCUACUUCUCGCACAUCUCACCCUACUGCUCCAUGCACGCCCCUGCGCUGCUCCUCGACCCGCCACCGAGCUCCUUGGUGAGCAGGGCGAGCCAUCGAGGAGCGGUCCUUGGCAUCACCGCCAUAGCCUGCCGCCGCUCUUGGCCUCACCGACUACUGACACGUCUCUCCCCGCUGCCGCUCCUCGCCAUAGGCACGAGGUGAGGGGCGAGUGGAGGGGGAAGGAUGAGGGACGGUGAAGGUAGAGAAGUGGAGAUAGGGGACGGAGACACGAGCGGAUAAGUGACCGUCUGCAGGUGGAGGAGAGGGGCCGGGUGGAG
Molecule: long non-coding RNA, 8394 nt
Filed under: Setaria italica (foxtail millet)
Lineage: Eukaryota; Viridiplantae; Streptophyta; Magnoliopsida; Poales; Poaceae
Description: long non-coding RNA (SITA_LNC002272)
Source: RNAcentral